AGCGAACGCUGGCGGCAGGCCUAACACAUGCAAGUCGAACGAACUCUUCGGAGUUAGUGGCGGACGGGUGAGUAACACGUGGGAACGUGCCUUUUGGUUCGGAAUAACUCAGGGAAACUUGUGCUAAUACCGAAUGUGCCCUUCGGUGGAAAGAUUUAUCGCCAUUAGAGCGGCCCGCGUCUGAUUAGCUAGUUGGUGAGGUAACGGCUCACCAAGGCGACGAUCAGUAGCUGGUCUGAGAGGAUGACCAGCCACACUGGGACUGAGACACGGCGCAGACUCGUACAGGAGGCAGUGGUGGGGAAUCUUGCGCAAUGGGCGAGAGCCUGACGCAGCCAUGCCGCGUGAAUGAUGAAGGUCUUAGGAUUGUAAAAUUCUUUCACCGGGGACGAUAAUGACGGUACCCGGAGAAGAAGCCCCGGCUAACUUCGUG
This 433-nucleotide ribosomal RNA is filed under the name uncultured bacterium. RNAcentral describes it as "partial 16S ribosomal RNA". It matches the Rfam family "Bacterial small subunit ribosomal RNA", at positions 29 to 507 of the family's 1533-position model. The record is from RNAcentral.